UAUAGGUGUGGUAGUGGCUCGCGUCCGUGUCUCAGUUGAGAAGAAAAAUAAGGUUGGUUGAUGCUUUUGUCUAGCCAAGCCAAUUCAGAUGCACCACAUGCAGACCAAUAGCAUCUAGCCACGGUUCAAGGGUCACACAUGUGCAUUGCAGCAGUGGAAGGCCCAACUUUUGUCUUCCAUCACAGAUUGGGGAUCUACUCCAUUUAACUAAUCUGAAUCACGUGAUCUUUUCUCCGAGCUGAGAAGAAAAUGAUGUAAAAUUGGUGGUCCAGGUUUGGGCCGUUGAGACCAAUUCAUCUACUCCGUUGGUGAAUAUGAAUAUUCAGUAGAGUGAGUGACCUGGCAAGACCGGGGGUGCCAGCUCGACAACACAGAAGUGCUGCAGAUAUUGAAGCCGCAAAGUGCCCUGGCUCAAUGCCUUGGACUAAAAGACCUUGCAUGAUAAUGUUAAUUCCCCAUUGAGGCCUAUUAUACUUGUGUAAUAAAAAGAUUUAUUGGCUUUUGCUGCUAUGUUGGUUCAACUUUGUGAGCUCAAGAUCAUGUAGUCCUCAGGCCAAAGGAGUUUCUUAUUUGCACUUUUCAUACAUUUUGUAACUAUUAACUUCAGAAUUUUCAAUAAGAAAUGGACAGUAUAUCUUUUUC
Lolium perenne is the source of this 642-nucleotide non-coding RNA. NCBI's taxonomy places the organism in Eukaryota, Viridiplantae, Streptophyta, Magnoliopsida, Poales, Poaceae. The record is from RefSeq and is a predicted model, not a curated record.